This 232-nucleotide ribosomal RNA is filed under the name uncultured bacterium. RNAcentral's name for it is "partial 16S ribosomal RNA". It matches the Rfam family "Bacterial small subunit ribosomal RNA", at positions 99 to 334 of the family's 1533-position model. The record is from RNAcentral.
CGGACGGGUGAGUAAUGUCUAGGAAACUGCCUGAUGGAGGGGGAUAACUACUGGAAACGGUAGCUAAUACCGCAUAACGUCGCAAGACCAAAGAGGGGGACCUUAGGGCCUCUUGCCAUCGGAUGUGCCCAGAUGGGAUUAGCUAGUAGGUGGGGUAACGGCUCACCUAGGCGACGAUCCCUAGCUGGUCUGAGAGGAUGACCAGCCACACUGGAACUGAGACACGGUCCAG